Molecule: long non-coding RNA, 774 nt
Filed under: Rattus norvegicus (Norway rat)
Lineage: Eukaryota; Metazoa; Chordata; Mammalia; Rodentia; Muridae
Description: long non-coding RNA NONRATT002773
Source: RNAcentral
GUGAGUACCCGGUUGAGUCCUGGCUGACGGUGCUCUCCGUGCCCGUUAUCCGGACCGCCUUCCUGCCAGAGGAGCGUCCGGAGACGUGUGGGACCUCUGGUCGGGUUCGCUGGGUCGGGGAGUUUGGAUCGAAAAAGCAGAUGGACUCCAUUUAAGACCAGGAACCAUUUUGAGACUCUUCCUAAGUUAGGGACUGGAGGGCCACUUCUCAGGGUGUGCACCUUGAGACGUUCCAAGGCCCCUGCAGGCUUGAUUUCAGUUACGAGGUCCACAGCUGCACCAAAAGAAAACCAGCAGGCACCUGUAUGAGGAGCCUCCAUUGUCUAGGCUGCCCAACUGACCGGGCACUGCUUGCCUGACCCACCUGUUCCAACCUGAUGACACUGCCAUUUCAAGACUCACUGGAUGGAACCAAGACGAUGCCCCUCUAUCAGGAUUCUCUGGAUGCCCAGUGCUGGUCAAGCAUUCAUCCGGAACUACCAAUUGUGCGGUUAUUGCAUUGUUUCCAAGAUGAGAGCACACAGCGUGCACCUGGACCAUUAGGACUGUGCUGUGCUGUGCCCUAUGCCUCAAGUUUUGAUUGUUUAAGGAUCAUUAUGGGGUUGGAGAGAUGGUUCAGUGGCUAAGAGCACUGACUGCUCUUCCAGAGGUCCUGAGUUUAAAUCCUGGCAAACACAUGGUGGCUCACAACCAUCUGUAAUGAGAUCUGAUGCCUCUUCUGGUGUGUCUGAAGACAGCUAUAGUGUACUUAUAUAUAAUAAAUGAAUAAAUCUU